RNAcentral lists this ribosomal RNA (524 nucleotides) under uncultured bacterium. Its description in RNAcentral is "bacterial SSU rRNA". It matches the Rfam family "Bacterial small subunit ribosomal RNA", at positions 355 to 896 of the family's 1533-position model. The record is from RNAcentral.
UGGGGAAUAUUGGACAAUGGACCAAAAGUCUGAUCCAGCAAUUCUGUGUGCACGAUGACGUUUUUCGGAAUGUAAAGUGCUUUCAGUUGGGAAGAAAAAAAUGACGGUACCAACAGAAGAAGUGACGGCUAAAUACGUGCCAGCAGCCGCGGUAAUACGUAUGUCACAAGCGUUAUCCGGAUUUAUUGGGCGUAAAGCGCGUCUAGGUGGUUAUGUAAGUCUGAUGUGAAAAUGCAGGGCUCAACUCUGUAUUGCGUUGGAAACUGCAUGACUAGAGUACUGGAGAGGUAAGCGGAACUACAAGUGUAGAGGUGGAAUUUGUAGAUAUUUGUAGGAAUGCCGAUGGGGAAGCCAGCUUACUGGACAGAUACUGACGCUAAAGCGCGAAAGCGUGGGUAGCAAACAGGAUUAGAUACCCUGGUAGUCCACGCCGUAAACGAUGAUUACUAGGUGUUGGGGGUCGAACCUCAGCGCCCAAGCUAACGCGAUAAGUAAUCCGCCUGGGGAGUACGUACGCAAGUAUG